Long non-coding RNA from Camelina sativa (false flax), 613 nucleotides. RefSeq lists it as uncharacterized. Lineage: Eukaryota; Viridiplantae; Streptophyta; Magnoliopsida; Brassicales; Brassicaceae. The record is from RefSeq and is a predicted model, not a curated record.
CUAGCAUUUGUGAAUAUAUAUACAAAUUAAUUAUUAAGUUUUUUAUAUUAAAUUAUCAAUUAUUAAACUUAUGAUUUUCAUAGUUUCAGUCAAAGUUUCAGAUGACGCUUCUUCUUUUUUUUCUUCAUCUUCUUCUUCUUCUUCUUUUUUGUGAAUCAAUUCAGAUCUCAGCUUCUCUUCACCAAUCGAAUUCACAAUUAGAUUUGUAGCUAUGGUGUAAUCGGAUGAGCUUCUAUGGUAUGGGUUUAUAGCUACGGAGAAGGUGGGGAAAGAACUACACCAAUCAAAACAAAAUCUGAUCAUGAUGAUUAUUGGAGGAGGAGGAGGAGGAGGAGGAGGAGAAGAAGAAGGAGGACAACGAACACCAUCGAUCUCACCACUCAGUGUUGAUGAUGAUGCAGAAUAUAGUGGGGGAAGAUCUUCUGGUUCUUUUCUUCACCAAUUUUGGGAUUUCUGAAUAUUUAGGAAAAUCUUCCUCAAUUUGAAGCACAUUUACCUAAACAUUAUGAAAUCUUUCCUAAAUUUAAAAAAAAAAAAGAAGAGAUUUUUAAUAAUUUAGUUAAUGUUUUGCCUUCAUGUAUCACAUAUUACUCUAUUGGUGAGGCAUACAUGA